RNAcentral lists this microRNA precursor (58 nucleotides) under Oreochromis niloticus (Nile tilapia). Its description in RNAcentral is "microRNA oni-mir-10618 precursor". The record is from miRBase by way of RNAcentral. Lineage: Eukaryota; Metazoa; Chordata; Actinopteri; Cichliformes; Cichlidae.
UGGCUUUGCUGGUCAGACUUACUCAAAAUUCAAGGUAGACUGAACCAGCGUGGCUUCC